GGGCCGUUAGCUCAGUGGUAGAGCAGAAGCCUUUUAAGCUUUUGGUCAGAGGUUCGAAUCCUCUACGGCUCA
This is a non-coding RNA of Candidatus Levybacteria bacterium RBG_16_35_11, 72 nucleotides long. NCBI's taxonomy places the organism in Bacteria, Candidatus Levyibacteriota. The record is from Rfam.